CUCCUAGUAGCUCAGUUGGUUCAGCGCGUUCGACUGUAAAUCGAAAGGUCACCUGUUCGACUGAGGUCUGGGAGA
Molecule: transfer RNA, 75 nt
Filed under: Cytospora mali
Lineage: Eukaryota; Fungi; Ascomycota; Sordariomycetes; Diaporthales; Cytosporaceae
Description: tRNA-Tyr (GTA) (tRNA-Tyr-GTA-3-1)
Rfam family: tRNA
About the family: Transfer RNA (tRNA) molecules are approximately 80 nucleotides in length. Their secondary structure includes four short double-helical elements and three loops (D, anti-codon, and T loops).
Source: RNAcentral